Molecule: long non-coding RNA, 1626 nt
Organism: Passer montanus (Eurasian tree sparrow)
Lineage: Eukaryota; Metazoa; Chordata; Aves; Passeriformes; Passeridae
Exons: 4
Source: RefSeq, a predicted model, not a curated record
UACAACAAAAGCAAGUGGCUGUCUGGAUAUUUGCCACCAUCACAGAGGUUUCAGGGCUUAGCAGAACCUUUUGAAACUUGAUCUAAAAUCUCUAAAUCUUGAAUAAGUGACUCUGGAAUCAGGGUUCUUCAUAGCAUCCUGUGAUUCUUCCCAUUAUGUGGAUGAACAGGCUGCUGUAAUGGCUAGAAGUAUCAAAAUACAGAGCACCAGCAUUACACUGCAUGAUUUCUGUUCGAAAUGAAGUAAUUUUUGUUUUCUCUUUUCUUGUGUUGCUUCCUCAGUUGCAAUCUCUAUGCAAGAUUAUUUAUAUUCAUUUAAAUUCAAAAUACCGUCCUGCUCAGAGAAACUCAUCUAACUUCAGCUGCCUCAAUAGGCAGCAAAGUGUCAAUUUAAACUGUGCUCAAAGCUGAGCCUGCUGAGGUGCUGCACAGGAGGGAGGUCUGGGGCUGCGCUCCUCUCUCAGUUCCUGUCCCCUCCAGCAUCUGAGGAGUUAAACCCACACACCAUUGGUGCACAUUUCUGAGUCCCAAGUGGAAAAGGUCCCACCCCAGGUGUUAAAAACCCUGCAUCCUUCAAAGACACCUACAGAGUGUUGUCAGGGGUGAGAGCAAGUGAAAGCAGCAAUAAACAUUCCUCCCGUGCUGGUGAGGAAAUUGAUUCCGAACAUCCUGCAACUACACGUUUUAAAGAACUUUGCAAAGUUAAAUGAAAAGAAAGUCUCUUCCAGGAUUGCUAAUUAUUAAUUUUUCCUGUGAGGGCAGUGAUGCUGAGAGCAGCACACAGUAUCUUACUGUCAGAGGAAGAUGCAGACAGUGGGAUUAUCAUUUCCCUUUGCUCAUGCAACACUGACAGCCGACACAACUCCCUUGACAGACCACACAAAACUUCUACUUCAAUCUCAGCAUCAAAAAGUCACAGUGAACCGUAGGGUCUGAAAUGAACUUUGUGCAGAAGUCUCCUUGCCUGCUGCCCCCCUCGCUGAUGGUCCUGCAGCACCCACCCCUGUGUGAGUCCUUCUGCCCAGGAGUGUCCAGCUGGUUUGUGCAGGCCUGUUAAAUGUGUUUGGCUUUGGAUCAGGACAGAAUGGAGUUCUCUUGCAGGAUUUCCAAGAUUUUUAUCCCUUAAGUUUGAUGAAAUGAACUCAUGAGAACCACUCAGAAGGCUGUUUGGAAGAGAGAAGUGUUUUCAGUGAAGCUACAAACAGGAAACCACCGGUGUCCAGAUAAGAUAUUAAAAAUUUAAAACUGUCCAAGCACCUCAUCCCCAGAAGGACAAGGAUCAUUUCAGGUGCAGUUUUUGACUUCCAUGCUUGCUGUUUCCCUGUGAGUUCUCAGGCCUGUCCAAACAUUUCUUCUCAGUUUGGGGCUGGGAAUUCCCACUGUCAGGCCCAGAUGAGAGGCUGGGACUGAGCCUUGAGCUGCUGGUCCUGUUAAAGAUCUGAGGACUGCAGUCCCAGAGAGGAGGUUUUGUGUUCUCAGCUGCUGAGACUGGAUCCCCUCCCUGUAAAGCAGUAACAAAUACAAUCCCAGCACUAAGGACAGCAGAAAUACUCUAAAAUCCAGGAUCCACCUGUUCUCUGGCCCACAAAACUUAGAAAAAAAAUUUAAUGGCUUGCCUUCACCAGAG